GGGGGCGAUUUGGAUUCGACGACGGAGAUGAAGUCUCAGGUGCAUGCCGAGAGAGAAGUAGCUCUCGUAAAUCAAUUACCUCAAUUCUUAAAUAGUUGCCAAUAACGACAACUACGCUCUAGCUGCUUAAAUAGCAGCUAGUUCUGCCUACUUGAGUGCCUAUGUAGAGUAGGGAGAAUCAUUUCAAUAGGAUCGUAUUGAAGGACUGUCCGAUCCUGCACUACUAAAUUAUUACGGACUCGCAUUACGGUACCGAGUUUUAUCCGGUAGUUGUAAUGUUAAACUGGAAGAUAAGACUAAGCAUGUAGAGCCGAAGAUGGAUUGCCGGCGGACGCGGGUUCGACUCCCGCCGCCUCCACCA
RNAcentral lists this transfer-messenger RNA (361 nucleotides) under Gammaproteobacteria bacterium. It matches the Rfam family "transfer-messenger RNA". Rfam says of the family: Bacterial tmRNA, also known as 10Sa RNA or SsrA, is named for its dual tRNA and mRNA-like properties. Its role is to liberate the mRNA from a stalled ribosome. To accomplish this part of the tmRNA is used as a reading frame that ends in a translation stop signal. The record is from RNAcentral. Lineage: Bacteria; Pseudomonadati; Pseudomonadota; Gammaproteobacteria.